UUGCCCUAGUAACGGCGAGUGAAGCGGCAACAGCUCAAAUUUGAAAUCUGGCCUCGGCCCGAGUUGUAAUUUGCAGAGGAUGCUUCUGGCGCGGUGCCUUCCGAGUUCCCUGGAACGGGACGCCACAGAGGGUGAGAGCCCCGUAUGGUCGGACACCAAGCCUGUGUGAAGCUCCUUCGACGAGUCGAGUAGUUUGGGAAUGCUGCUCUAAAUGGGAGGUAAAUCUCUUCUAAAGCUAAAUACCGGCCAGAGACCGAUAGCGCACAAGUAGAGUGAUCGAAAGAUGAAAAGCACCUUGAAAAGGGGGUUAAAUAGUACGUGAAAUUGUUGAAAGGGAAGCACUUGUGACCAGACUUGGGCCGGGCGGCUCAUCAGGGGUUCUCCCCUGUGCACUCCGCCCGGCACAGGCCAGCAUCGGUUCUCGUGGGGGGAUAAGACCGUCAGGAACGUAGCACCCUCCGGGGUGUGUUAUAGCCUGGCGGACGAUACCCCCGUGGGGACCGAGGUUCGCGCUCCGCAAGGAUGCUGGCGUAAUGGUCACCAGUGACCCGUCUUGAAACACGGACCAAGGAGUCGUCCAUUAGAGCGAGCGUUUGGGUGUAAAACCCGCACGCGUAAUGAAAGUGAACGCAGGUGAGAGCUUCGGCGCAUCAUCGACCGAUCCUGAUGUUCUCGGAAGGAUUUGAGUAAGAGUUUUAACGGACGGACCCGAAAGACAGUGAACUAUGCUUGUAUAGGGUGAAGCCAGAGGAAACUCUGGUGGAGGCUCGCAGCGGUUCUGACGUGCAAAUCGAUCGUCAAAUAUGAGCAUGGGGGCGAAAGACUAAUCGAAC
This 833-nucleotide ribosomal RNA is filed under the name Diaporthe sp. RNAcentral describes it as "eukaryotic LSU rRNA". It matches the Rfam family "Eukaryotic large subunit ribosomal RNA", at positions 75 to 940 of the family's 3401-position model. The record is from RNAcentral. Lineage: Eukaryota; Fungi; Ascomycota; Sordariomycetes; Diaporthales; Diaporthaceae.